CUUUUUUCAUGUUUUCCUCAUCAGAAUGGCAUCCUCUCCGUAUAGUCCCAUCAGGGGUCAAGUGUGUGCUUAACCACCAAAAACACAAAACCCCUACAUUUUAUUCAAGUAGAUGAGAAAUUAGGUUGAGCACUCAAGUAAUCACUUACCUUCUACACCUGAAGACCAGUGGACAGUGCACUUCAGACUGGGCAGCCUUCGAAGAGAGUGACAUACUAUAUAAAAAACUACCACCUUGUCCUCAAGGUUUGGGGCAGGAACUUCUGUUCAUGGGUCUGAACACGAUGACCGACAAAACCCCCCCUCAAACUGACCUUUGAUGCAGAGAAGAUGGUCAAAGACACCCUGAUUCCUCCAUCUGUCUCCAUCUUCAAGAGGAGGCCACUUAACUCUGCAAGGAACUGUGGAACAUGUGAGUGACUUAAACUGAAUUAUCAAACACUGUCCUGAACAUUAUUAAUAUUUAACUACUGAUAUUUUAAUUUAAUGAUGUCUCCUAUUUUGUUUCUAUAUUUUGCCACGGGAUUUACCACAAGCUCCAGUCUGGAUCCAGAACACCUGAGAAGAGAUGAUGCUAACACUGAAUCAACAAACAGAACUAACAAUUAUUGCUAAAUGUGUGACUGAAUCAUAUAAUAACUUAAUUAUUAAUAUUGAUAGUUCAUCAUCUAUCUGACUACAUCUUGUAUUAUUAUUAUUUUUAUUAUUAUUAUUUUUUCUACAAACCUUGUCAAACGUGCACAAACUACUAGCUACUACUAAAUACUGUAGAAACAUAAUUUUCUGUUAACUUUGUAACAAUUUGUAUUGUAAAAAGCGCUAUACAAAAACUUGAAUUGAAUUCACCAUAACUUUAUAGAUGCAGGUUCCAAGGAUGACGACUGUGAGGGACACAUCUUGGACGUGGGGGAUCAGAAGAGGCUCCAGAAUCCUUGAGGUGUCCUUAUGGCGGGACCAGGCCUCGUCAAUGAUAAAGUUCACAUAUGUCACCUCCGAGCAAACGCCAAGGCUACUAAGUUAAACUCACCCAUCCACACAACUGUAGAGGUUCUGGAGCAAGGACCAGUGGUGGAGAACAUGGUGGUGAUUUGCUUUGUUGAAGCUAAUGUUGAGCUCUUGUUGCUCGCUGAGGACUUCAGUGAAUACACAGCACUUCCUGAACUGACUGAUAAGAGUCUAGAAGAUCUUCUGUGCAGCUUCCACUUCAUUCAGAACUACAAAAAGUGAGGAUGAUGCUCAUCAAUUCCCAUUUUAAAUCUACAGCUGCUGUGUGAUCCUGAUCCUCUUGAUAUCUUCUUGUGGAAAGAUGAAGCUCUCUGUGUCUUACACAUUAGAGAUGACGUAGAGAUCACCAACAUUUAUAGUGACAAAGGUGCCUCGAGGAAGAGGGAGUUUUCAUUCCUCUCAGUACACAACUGUCAAAGGUAAUCAUUAUAAAAAGUGAAAGACACACUGUAAAUCUGUCUAUCUAUCUAACACACAAGAAAAAAUUAUACACUCCUAUCAUACAAAUCUUUAAUAAAAUCACACACUUACUAACAACAAACAACAUUACACAUACCAAGAUGUUUGGUGUAAUAACAUUGACUUUUUUUCUUAUUUUCUUUUACAGAUUAAGCAGACGCCGCGUACAAAACAGAAGACACCUACACUCUUCUCGACACUGACGACGAAGUCUACAGUUUCUGCAGAGUUCUACGCUGGGAACGUCACCAGUUUCAUUGACGAAUUACCCAUGAAGAUUCUUGUGGAACAUAACAACCUCCGAAUCGUUGGUCACAACACCACCUUAAGCUUCUCCUCUUAACCUGGACUCCUAUCAUUGUUCCUGUCAUGUCCAUUUAUUUGGUAAUACUUUCCACUUUUUAAAAAACACCUUUCAUGUCCAUUUAUUGCUUUUAACCUCUGUACAUAUCUAAAAAUGUAUAUUAUAUUAAAACUACUUUUUGGCAACAAUUCU
Molecule: long non-coding RNA, 1960 nt
Filed under: Carassius auratus (goldfish)
Lineage: Eukaryota; Metazoa; Chordata; Actinopteri; Cypriniformes; Cyprinidae
Description: lncRNA (ENSCARG00000052458.1)
Source: RNAcentral